This 478-nucleotide ribosomal RNA is filed under the name uncultured bacterium. RNAcentral's name for it is "partial 16S ribosomal RNA". It matches the Rfam family "Bacterial small subunit ribosomal RNA", at positions 28 to 523 of the family's 1533-position model. The record is from RNAcentral.
GACGAACGCUGGCGGCAUGCCUAACACAUGCAAGUCGAGCGAGCAGAUCCCUUCGGGGUGAAGCUAGCGGCGGACGGGUGAGUAACACGUGGGCAACCUGCCUCAUAGAGGGGAAUAGCCUUCCGAAAGGAAGAUUAAUACCGCAUAAGAUUGUGGCUUCGCAUGAAGCAGCAAUUAAAGGAGCAAUCCGCUAUGAGAUGGGCCCGCGGCGCAUUAGCUAGUUGGUGAGGUAACGGCUCACCAAGGCGACGAUGCGUAGCCGACGUGAGAGGGUGAUCGGCCACCUUGGGACUGAGACACGGCCGAGGCUCCUACGGGAGGUAGCAGCGGGGAAUAUUGCACAAUGGGGGAAACCCUGAUGCAGCAAUGCCGCGUGAGUGAUGACGGCCUUCGGGGUGUAAAGCUCUGUCUUCGGGGACGAUGAUGACGGUACCCGAGGAGGAAGCCACGGCUAACUACGUGCCAGCCGCCGCGGUAA